RNAcentral lists this small nuclear RNA (323 nucleotides) under Sarcophilus harrisii (Tasmanian devil). RNAcentral describes it as "7SK RNA". It matches the Rfam family "7SK RNA". Rfam says of the family: 7SK was discovered as an abundant small nuclear RNA in the mid-70s but a possible function has only recently been suggested. The record is from Rfam by way of RNAcentral. Lineage: Eukaryota; Metazoa; Chordata; Mammalia; Dasyuromorphia; Dasyuridae.
CAAUGUGAAGGCAAUUUAGCUCUGACAUCUGCCACUGUGUUGAUCACCAGGGUUGAUUUGGCUGAUUUGGCUGCUAGACAGGUGUCUCCUUCCUCCCUCAUUGCUCCAUGUGUAUCCCUCUGGAAGCUGCAUGCUAGGUGGAGGAGGAAUACCUUCUCCCAUAGAGGUUUUACCACUCUUUGGUCAAAGGUAUAUGAAUAAUUGCUCUCCCUUGCUAGAACAAGCUCCCAAGGUCCGAAUGUAUAUUUCUGGCCCCAGUUUUUUUUUCCUGAAUUGUACCCCCACAUCUUCAGCUGACAUCUCAAUCUGGAUAGUCUACUUCA